UGUGGAUAUGGCUCAGUGGUAGAGUGCUUGCCUGAAAAGCAUGAGGCCCUGAGUUCAAUUCCCAGGACCACAA
RNAcentral lists this transfer RNA (73 nucleotides) under Marmota monax (woodchuck). Its description in RNAcentral is "tRNA.Phe". It matches the Rfam family "tRNA". Rfam says of the family: Transfer RNA (tRNA) molecules are approximately 80 nucleotides in length. Lineage: Eukaryota; Metazoa; Chordata; Mammalia; Rodentia; Sciuridae. The record is from RNAcentral.